Molecule: ribosomal RNA, 797 nt
Filed under: uncultured bacterium
Lineage: Bacteria
Description: bacterial SSU rRNA
Rfam family: Bacterial small subunit ribosomal RNA
Source: RNAcentral
CAAGUCGAACGGACUUAACUCAUUCUUUUAGAUUGAGAGCGGUUAGUGGCGCACUGGUGAGUAACACGUAAGCAACCUGCCUAUCAGAGGGGAAUAACAGUGAGAAAUCAUUGCUAAUACCGCAUAAGCUAGUAGUAUCGCAUGAUAUAGCUAGAAAAGGAGCAAUCCGCUGAUAGAUGGGCUUGCGUACGAUUAGAUAGUUGGUGAGGUAAAGGCUCACCAAGUCGACGAUCGUUAGAUGGUUUGAGAGGAUGAUCAUCCAGACUGGGACUGAGACACGGCCCAGACUCCUACGGGAGGCAGCAGUAGGGAAUCUUUCACAAUGGGCGAAAGCCUGAUGGAGCAACGCCGCGUGCAGGAUGAAGGCCUUCGGGUUGUAAACUGCUUUUAUAAGCGAGAAAUAUGAUGGUAACUUAUGAAUAAGGAUCGGCUAACUACGUGCCAGCAGCCGCGGUCAUACGUAGGAUCCGAGCAUUAUCCGGAGUGACUGGGUGUAAAGAGUUGCGUAGGUGGCAUAAUAAGUAGCUAGUGAAAUCUGGUGGCUCAACCAUUCAGACUAUUAGCUAAACUGUUAAGCUCGAGACCGUUAGGGGUAACUGGAAUUUCUAGUGUAGGAGUGAAAUCCGUAGAUAUUAGAAGGAACACCAAUAGCGUAGGCAGGUUACUGGGACGGUUCUGACACUAAGGCACGAAAGCGUAGGGAGCAAACGGGAUUAGAUACCCCGGUAGUCUACGCCGUAAACGAUGGAUACUAGCAGUUUUUGGUAUCGACCCCCAGAGUUGCGAAGCUAACGCGU